AGUGAACGCUGGCGGUAGGCCUAACACACGCAAGUCGAACGGCAGCACAGUAAGAGCUUGCUCUUACGGGUGGCGAGUGGCGGACGGGUGAGGAAUACAUCGGAAUCUACUUUUUCGUGGGGGAUAACGUAGGGAAACUUACGCUAAUACCGCAUACGACAUACGGGUGAAAGCAGGGGAUCUUCGGACCUUGCGCGAUUGAAUGAGCCGAUGUCGGAUUAGCUAGUUGGCGGGGUAAAGGCCCACCAAGGCGACGAUCCGUAGCUGGUCUGAGAGGAUGAUCAGCCACACUGGAACUGAGACACGGUCCAGACUCCUACGGGAGGCAGCAGUGGGGAAUAUUGGACAAUGGGCGCAAGCCUGAUCCAGCCAUACCGCGUGGGUGAAGAAGGCCUUCGGGUUGUAAAGCCCUUUUGUUGGGAAAGAAAAGCAGCAGGUUAAUACCCCGCUGUUCUGACGGUACCCAAAGAAUAAGCACCGGCUAACUUCGUG
Molecule: ribosomal RNA, 492 nt
Filed under: uncultured bacterium
Lineage: Bacteria
Description: partial 16S ribosomal RNA
Rfam family: Bacterial small subunit ribosomal RNA
Source: RNAcentral